Pelobates cultripes (western spadefoot toad) is the source of this 207-nucleotide non-coding RNA. NCBI's taxonomy places the organism in Eukaryota, Metazoa, Chordata, Amphibia, Anura, Pelobatidae. The record is from the annotation of a GenBank genome assembly.
GGGGGGGAGAUAAGGGCGUUUGGGGAGAUUCGCCGUCGUAACUGGGAAGGGUGCCUGUCAGGCAUAGUUAAAGCACAUUUACCUGCUCGGAGCUAUAGAUCAUAAUAAUCAGGAACAUAAAGCAAAAACUGUUAAGUCCUGUGCGGUUUGAAACAUAAAGCAAAAACUGUUAAGAAAUAUAAAGCAAGAACUGUUAAGUCCUGUGCG